This 503-nucleotide ribosomal RNA is filed under the name uncultured bacterium. Its description in RNAcentral is "partial 16S ribosomal RNA". It matches the Rfam family "Bacterial small subunit ribosomal RNA", at positions 30 to 523 of the family's 1533-position model. The record is from RNAcentral.
AUUGAACGCUGGCGGCAGGCUUAACACAUGCAAGUCGAGCGGAGUGAUGGUGCUUGCACUAUCACUUAGCGGCGGACGGGUGAGUAAUGCUUAGGAAUCUGCCUAUUAGUGGGGGACAACAUCUCGAAAGGGAUGCUAAUACCGCAUACGUCCUACGGGAGAAAGCAGGGGAUCACUUGUGACCUUGCGCUAAUAGAUGAGCCUAAGUCGGAUUAGCUAGUUGGUGGGGUAAAGGCCUACCAAGGCGACGAUCUGUAGCGGGUAUGAGAGGAUGAUCCGCCACACUGGGACUGAGACACGGCCCAGACUCCUACGGGAGGCAGCAGUGGGGAAUAUUGGACAAUGGGGGGAACCCUGAUCCAGCCAUGCCGCGUGUGUGAAGAAGGCCUUAUGGUUGUAAAGCACUUUAAGCGAGGAGGAGGCUUACCUAGUUAAUACCUGGGAUAAGUGGACGUUACUCGCAGAAUAAGCACCGGCUAACUCUGUGCCAGCCGCCGCAGUAA